RNAcentral lists this ribosomal RNA (497 nucleotides) under uncultured bacterium. RNAcentral describes it as "partial 16S ribosomal RNA". It matches the Rfam family "Bacterial small subunit ribosomal RNA", at positions 28 to 507 of the family's 1533-position model. The record is from RNAcentral.
GAUGAACGCUGGCGGCGUGCCUAAUACAUGCAAGUCGAGCGAACAGACGAGGAGCUUGCUCCUCUGACGUUAGCGGCGGACGGGUGAGUAACACGUGGAUAACCUACCUAUAAGACUGGGAUAACUUCGGGAAACCGGAGCUAAUACCGGAUAAUAUAUUGAACCGCAUGGUUCAAUAGUGAAAGACGGUUUUGCUGUCACUUAUAGAUGGAUCCGCGCCGGAUUAGCUAGUUGGGAAGGUAACGGCUUACCAAGGCAACGAUGCGUAGCCGACCUGAGAGGGUGAUCGGCCACACUGGAACUGAGACACGGUCCAGACUCCUACGGGAGGCAGCAGUAGGGAAUCUUCCGCAAUGGGCGAAAGCCUGACGGAGCAACGCCGCGUGAGUGAUGAAGGUCUUCGGAUCGUAAAACUCUGUUAUUAGGGAAGAACAAAUGUGUAAGUAACUAUGCACGUCUUGACGGUACCUAAUCAGAAAGCCACGGCUAACUACGUG